Molecule: ribosomal RNA, 1236 nt
Filed under: uncultured bacterium
Lineage: Bacteria
Description: partial 16S ribosomal RNA
Rfam family: Bacterial small subunit ribosomal RNA
Source: RNAcentral
GUUGGAAACGACUGCUAAUACCGCAUAACACUUUUUGGGGACAUCCCUGAAAAGUCAAAGCUUUAUGUGCUGAAAGAUGGCCUCGCGUCUGAUUAGCUGGUUGGCGGGGUAACGGCCCACCAAGGCGACGAUCAGUAGCCGGUCUGAGAGGAUGAACGGCCACAUUGGGACUGAGAUACGGCCCAGACUCCUACGGGAGGCAGCAGUGGGGAAUAUUGGGCAAUGGGGGAAACCCUGACCCAGCAACGCCGCGUGAAGGAAGAAGGCCCUCGGGUUGUAAACUUCUUUUACCAGGGACGAAGGACGUGACGGUACCUGGAGAAAAAGCAACGGCUAACUACGUGCCAGCAGCCGCGGUAAUACGUAGGUUGCAAGCGUUGUCCGGAUUUACUGGGUGUAAAGGGCGUGUAGGCGGAGGUGCAAGUUGGGAGUGAAAUCCCGGGGCUCAACCCCGGAACUGCUUUCAAAACUGCAUCCCUUGAGUAUCGGAGAGGCAAGCGGAAUUCCUAGUGUAGCGGUGAAAUGCGUAGAUAUUAGGAGGAACACCAGUGGCGAAGGCGGCUUGCUGGACGACAACUGACGCUGAGGCGCGAAAGCGUGGGGAGCAAACAGGAAUAGAUACCCUGGUAGUCCACGCUGUAAACGAUGAAUAUUAGGUGUGUGAGGGUGAGACCUUCCGUGCCGCAGAUAACACACUAAGUAUUCCACAUGGGGAGUGCGACAGCACGGUUGAAACUCAAAGGAAUAGACGCGGGGCCGCACACGCGCAGGAACAUGUGGUGUAAUUUGAUGAUAAGCGAGGAGCAUUACCCCGGCUCGAACUGCAGCAGACGUAUUUAGAGAGAGAUAUUCCCUUCGUGGCUGGAGAGGAGGUGCAGCAUGGUGGUCGUCAGUUCUCUGCCGCGAGUUGUGGGAUUAAGUGCCAUAACGAGCGCAACCCCCGUUUCCAUUUGCCAUCGGUUGAAACCGGCCACUCUGGAGAGACUGCCUCCGUAAGAAGGGAGGAAGGGGGGGAGGAGGUCAAAUCAUCACGCCCCUUAUUUCCGGGGUUACACACGUAUUACAAUGGGGCACACCAAAGGUAGGUAAAUCCUAGGGGGAAUCCAAACACUAAAAAGCCUUUCCAUUUGGGAUGGCGUGUGCAACCUGACCCCCAGAAGGUGGAAUUGGUUGUUAUUGGGCUUUAACCAAGGCGCGGUGAAUACGUUCCCGGGCCUUGCACUCACCGCCCGUCAA